This 73-nucleotide transfer RNA is filed under the name Schistocerca americana (American grasshopper). RNAcentral describes it as "tRNA-Ala". It matches the Rfam family "tRNA". Rfam says of the family: Transfer RNA (tRNA) molecules are approximately 80 nucleotides in length. Their secondary structure includes four short double-helical elements and three loops (D, anti-codon, and T loops). Lineage: Eukaryota; Metazoa; Arthropoda; Insecta; Orthoptera; Acrididae. The record is from RNAcentral.
GGGGGCGUAGCUCAGAUGGUAGAGCGCUCGCUUAGCAUGCGAGAGGUACUGGGAUCGAUACCCAGAGCCUCCA